UACGUAGGGGGCAAGCGUUGUCCGGAUUUAUUGGGCGUAAAGCGCGUGUAGGCGGCCAUACAGGUCCGUUGUGAAAACUCGAGGCUUAACCUCGAGACGUCGAUGGAAACCGUAUGGCUAGAGUCCGGAAGAAGAGAGUGGAAUUCCUGGUGUAGCGGUGAAAUGCGCAGAUAUCAGGAAGAACACCCGUGGCGAAGGCGGCUCUCUGGGACGGUACUGACGCUGAGACGCGAAAGCGUGGGGAGCGAACAGG
RNAcentral lists this ribosomal RNA (253 nucleotides) under uncultured prokaryote. Its description in RNAcentral is "partial 16S ribosomal RNA". It matches the Rfam family "Bacterial small subunit ribosomal RNA", at positions 524 to 776 of the family's 1533-position model. The record is from RNAcentral.